AUUUCUUUUGAAUUCACAGUGAAGGUUUGCUUUAUACAUGAUGCAGUCUUUGAGCUUUAUUUGGAUUUGCAUUAUCUUCAUCUCCUGGAUUACAGAUUCCAAGUGCAGUGUUACUCUUACACAGUCUGAAUCCCAGGAGGUGGUGUCUUCUGGAUCAAUCACUCUGUCUUGCCAGGCUGCAGGAUUUGAUGUGAAUAGCUACUGGAUGGUCUGGAUUCGUCAGACUCCUGGGAAAGCCCUGGAAUGGCUCGCCAGUGUAGGUGCUGCUACAAGUGCACAAUAUCACUCUGACACUAUCAAAAACCGAUUCAAGGCAUCUAAAGACUAUUCAAAACACAUUUUCUUUCUACAAAUGAAUAACCUGAGGACGGAGGACACAGCAGUGUAUUACUGUGCAACAGAAACACAGCAAAUAAAACUCAUUGAAAGCUUGUACAAAAACAUCCUGCAGUGCCAGGUGUAA
Molecule: non-coding RNA, 463 nt
Organism: Polypterus senegalus (gray bichir)
Lineage: Eukaryota; Metazoa; Chordata; Cladistia; Polypteriformes; Polypteridae
Source: the annotation of a RefSeq genome assembly